Molecule: ribosomal RNA, 403 nt
Filed under: uncultured bacterium
Lineage: Bacteria
Description: partial 16S ribosomal RNA
Rfam family: Bacterial small subunit ribosomal RNA
Source: RNAcentral
GACGAACGCUGGCGGCGUGCCUAAUACAUGCAAGUCGAACGCAGUGGGGACGGUUGCGUAAAACGUGGGUAACCUCCCAUCAGAGGGGAUAACACUUGGCAACAGGUGCUAAACCGAUACUGGUGUAGGGACCCGCGGGGCAUUAGCUAGUUGGUGGGGUAACGGCUCACCAAGGCCACGAUGCAUAGCCGACCGGAGAGGGUGAUCGGCCACACUGGAACUGAGACACGGUCCAGACUCCUACGGGAGGCAGCAGUAGGGAAUCUUGCGCAAUGGACGAAAGUCUGACCGAGCAAUGCCGCGUGAGUGAAGAAGGUUUUCGGAUCGUAAAACUCUGUUGGUAGAGAAGCGGUAUCUAACCAGAAAGCCACGGCUAACUACGUGCCAGCAGCCGCGGUAAUAC